AUUGAACGCUGGCGGCAGGCUUAACACAUGCAAGUCGAGCGGGGUGAUGGUGCUUGCACUAUCACUUAGCGGCGGACGGGUGAGUAAUGCUUAGGAAUCUGCCUAUUAGUGGGGGACAACAUCUCGAAAGGGAUGCUAAUACCGCAUACGUCCUACGGGAGAAAGCAGGGGAUCACUUGUGACCUUGCGCUAAUAGAUGAGCCUAAGUCGGAUUAGCUAGUUGGUGGGGUAAAGGCCUACCAAGGCGACGAUCUGUAGCGGGUCUGAGAGGAUGACCAGCCACACUGGAACUGAGACCCGGUCCAGACUCCUACGGGAGGCAGCAGUGGGGAAUAUUGCACAAUGGGCGCAAGCCUGAUGCAGCCAUGCCGCGUGUAUGAAGAAGGCCUUCGGGUUGUAAAGUACUUUCAGCGGGGAGGAAGGUGUUGAGGUUAAUAACCUCAGCAAUUGACGUUACCCGCAGAAGAAGCACCGGCUAACUCCGUGCCAGCCGCCGCCGUAA
RNAcentral lists this ribosomal RNA (502 nucleotides) under uncultured bacterium. RNAcentral describes it as "partial 16S ribosomal RNA". It matches the Rfam family "Bacterial small subunit ribosomal RNA", at positions 30 to 523 of the family's 1533-position model. The record is from RNAcentral.